UGCGUAGGCGGACUAAUAAGUCAGUGGUGAAAUCUCUCGGCUCAACCGGGAAACUGCCAUUGAUACUGUUAGUCUUGAGUUCGGUUGAGGUAGGCGGAAUGUGUAAUGUAGCGGUGAAAUGCUUAGAUAUUACACAGAACACCAAUUGCGUAGGCAGCUUACUAGACCGACACUGACGCUGAGGCACGAAAGCGUGGGUAGCGAUCAGGAUUAGAUACCCUGGUAGUCC
This 229-nucleotide ribosomal RNA is filed under the name uncultured bacterium. Its description in RNAcentral is "partial 16S ribosomal RNA". It matches the Rfam family "Bacterial small subunit ribosomal RNA", at positions 568 to 796 of the family's 1533-position model. The record is from RNAcentral.